AGUUUCAGUGCAUUUGCGUGUGUGGAGCAAAGGACGCUUAUGAUAAAUGCGGAAGCACGUGGGCGUGAUGUGUUAAAACAACUUUACCGACUACAUAGGCCUACGUGUUCUGUUUGUGCACUUCAGUUAAGUAGGGAGCACGCUGUAGGCCUGGAGGCAGUGUGUCAUGCUGGAUUAGAAAAAGAUCUUUCCAAAGUGUUGAAAAAAAAUAUAAAGAAGUAUGGGUUCAUUUUGAUAAAAUAUUUCUGAUGAGGAAGAGGACCCCUGAUGAGGGUCCAGCAUAUACAAGUAGAAAGUAACCAAGAGAAGUAUCUUCGCUGAAGAAAUGUCAGCUGUUAAUCCUUAGACACCUGUGAACACCAAGCAGUCUCUUGAGUCCAAGACAUCAAGUGCAUCGUCUUUAUUAUACUUCUCUGACAUAACAGUUAGAGCUAAAGAGGAAGUUCAAGUAAUUGUCUGCAUUUACCAUUAUACUGUGUAAUUUUUUGCAACAACAGUGGGAAUCAUAACUGAAGAGACAAACUGACCAACAGGAAGCUUUGGAUCUGCUGAAUAUGUAUUUUUCUAGCAUUUUAUUGUGGUGUUCACUUUUAUUUUUCUGCACAAUGAUUUGCUCUUUACAGAAAUGAAAGCUCCCAAGUAAAGAACUCACCAAAUUAUGAUGUGAAAAGACAUGUUAUUUAAAACAAUGUUUAUAUUUAGCUUAAGCUUUACUUAAAUUUUACAAUCCAAGUUUAAGUAAAUGCAUGGGUAAUUUUGCAAAAUGUGUUAAAUAUUGUAUCUACACUUAGGCUAUUGUAUAACUGUUUUUUUUUUCUGUAAUUGCAUGUUUUUGUAAAUAAAUGUAUUAUUUUGUAAACGUUCCUCCUGCCAGCUUGAUCUAGUGAGUUCUUUAAUGGAUUUUAAAAUUGCUUUCAUAAUAAUGUCAUGUUUUUAUAUUUAUGUCAUGUUAUUUAUAUUAUAAUCUACAUAAUUAAAAUGAAAGUAAUGUUUUGGCUGGAUAUUAAUUUCAAAU
Molecule: long non-coding RNA, 1015 nt
Organism: Cyprinus carpio carpio
Lineage: Eukaryota; Metazoa; Chordata; Actinopteri; Cypriniformes; Cyprinidae
Source: Ensembl